CAUGGCCAAUUAACAUGGCGGCGGCAUCAGGCAUGCAUGGCGGGAAAGCCGCUGCGAACUCCGGCAAGACCAUCCUAGUGACGAUACUGACGCGCCGCCUGUCGAAAUUAGCAACCGGUAAUAUUGAAAGGGGUAGUGCACAAGAACUAGAGUAGAUGGGUUGAAAGACAAAGAGUUUAGACAUGUUCAGUUCCUCUCGAUGAGAGGUAAUACCUUACUAUUGUUUGGGGAUUUGAAUCGUGUUGUAAUGAUCUUGAUCUUGGAUGUGGUUAUACCCUCGAGGGGGCUUCCUGCCCACCUUAUAUAGAUCAUGGGGUAGGAUUAUAGGUAAAAACCUGACCGAAUAUAAUAUCUAUUUUACAAUAUUUCCGAACUAAGACUUUAAGCCGUUUACUUAAUACUUAAGGAAACGUAAUACCCAAGUCAGAAUCUAUUACAUAUUCUAGAGAUAUAAACUAUCCCCUAUAACUAGUCAGAUAAGCCGAUCGUGUGGGUAUAUGGUACUCAUAAUCUCCACACCACCCAUCUUCCCUUCCCUGGUGGCUUGGUCGUGACAGCAAGGUGCUAGAGGAGGAGAUUGAACUCCAGAAGAUGGCGAACGAAGCGUGAAUUGGAGAUCUGAGCGGGCCGAGCCCGAUGUGGACGGAAAAGGUGAAGGGAUGGAGCAAGUCAUUGGGGCAGUACAAGAGACGGAGGGUCGGGCCGGAGGAAAAUGAGGUGGAGUGGUCGAAGUGGAGAUCCCUGGCAUCACCGCUGGUCGAGAAAUCGGAGAGGAAUGGUAGCCCGAGCACACCGACCAACACCUAUGCCUUCAUGGCAGAGGACUCCAUCAUCGUCGCUACCUAGCUAGCUACAUGGCUCCUGCGACAACGAUAGCGCGCACUGCCAAUGCCCACCACGCCCUCCUGACAGGCGUCGCCACUGCGCCUCCUCACCAACGCGAGAUGAUUGGAGAGGAGGGCCAUGACACAACAGGGACACAUCGGACCGGAGAGAGAUAAGGGAAGCGGAGAUGCUGACUAGUGGGUUCCACACCGUUUUUUACCCUAGGUUGCCAUGUUGGCAUGCCACGUAGGCAAAAGUGGCAAAUAGUUAAGAAGCCAUCAUCUUAGAGGGGCAAAAAAAAUAAGAGCAAAUAUAUAAAGGGUAUUUGGAUAAUUGCCAAACUAAAAAAUGAGAAAUAGUUAAAUUCCCUCCAAAACUAUGGCAUUGAAUUUGAACAGCCAUAGUUUGAUUUUUUUUUAUGGAGGGUGUACUCCCUCCUAUGGUCCUACCCAAAAUAAACUUACGGAGUAUGAACAACUCCUUCCACCCCAAAAAAAAUAAACCUGUAUCGGAUGUGACAUAUGCUAGUACUAGCACUAUUAUGGAAAGUUGAUUAUACCAGUUAGGAAUCGACAAUAGUUGCCGGAUUUCUCAGCUGACACCCGUAGGUGAUACCUUUGAGGAGAACUCAUAGGUGCUGGUUUAGAAACCGAAACCUUUGAGAUAUAUAAAAAAAAUCGACUUGAUGCAUCAAGCAACUCCCCUCAACAAACAUAACAAGCACACUAGAACACAAGAACGGACGCCGCCGCUCACCGUUAUCAGUGUUGAGGGACCGAGAAGCUGGAGACUACUCGGGGACAAGCGACAGGGCCUAGAUCUGGUGGCCCCCCGAGCUCGGGCCUAGCAAAUCUGGUGUCAGUGUAGUCGCCACCAUUGUUGCUGUUCACGGAUGGGGAAAGCGUCACCGGAUCUCAUGGGUAGGGAGGGCGUCACCGCUUGUGGGUGGGAGGGCGCGGCUCGUGGGGUGGAGAGGCACUGUUCGCGAGAGAGAGGAGGACGAGAGCCCCUCGCGGGAGAGAGGGAGAGAG
This 1856-nucleotide long non-coding RNA is filed under the name Oryza sativa (Asian cultivated rice). RNAcentral's name for it is "long non-coding RNA (OSAT_LNC001478)". Lineage: Eukaryota; Viridiplantae; Streptophyta; Magnoliopsida; Poales; Poaceae. The record is from RNAcentral.